UCUCGUCGAGACGAAGCCGUAGACACCGACCACGCCGCAAUCGGAGUUCAGACGAAGCCGUACGCGCCUCCAAAAGUUACGCCGACUGCGCGCGUUUCUUCCACGCGCCGCCGCCGGAUAUCGCCUCCGCCGUCUUCCGCCACCGUCCUCCGCCGCAUCUCCGCCGCUGCCAGAAGUCGCCUCCGCCGCAGCUCCGCCGCCGCCGGGAAUCGCCUCCGCCGUCGCCGCCGACAAACUUUCCGAUAUGGAGUCUAUUUGAGCAGCUGGAGUUCAUAAACACUAUUUUUCUAUUGCUAAGGUGAGACAAAUAAGUAUGUGAUAUUUGGACGGACUUGGUGCUACUGGACUUUUCUUUCGGAUUUUAUUUGGGCUUGGGUGAGCGUUAUUGGGUUUAUGGGCUUUUAUAUUAUGGGAUAUUGUUGGUGGCCCGUCGUCCUUAGUGAGAAGGAGACGGAUGUCACAUUGUUGUAUGAUGACGCGUCGGUGGUGACACGCUGUCCUCCAGAUAGGAGGUGACGGGUGUCGCAAUUUUGGUAUCAGAGCGGGGUUCCAUCCCGGUUCCGUCCGGGAUGGCGGUCAGGGGAUUCGGUUUUCAUCGGUUUUCAACGUUCUUUUUG
This is a long non-coding RNA of Brassica napus (rape), 617 nucleotides long. RefSeq lists it as uncharacterized. NCBI's taxonomy places the organism in Eukaryota, Viridiplantae, Streptophyta, Magnoliopsida, Brassicales, Brassicaceae. The record is from RefSeq and is a predicted model, not a curated record. The transcript is spliced from 3 exons.